Molecule: long non-coding RNA, 415 nt
Organism: Cygnus olor (mute swan)
Lineage: Eukaryota; Metazoa; Chordata; Aves; Anseriformes; Anatidae
Exons: 3
Source: RefSeq, a predicted model, not a curated record
GAACUCUUCCUAAAUGGCUUGUUCCUGCUGAGAUCUCUCCUCAAAACAUGGGGUUUGCUUUUGUUUGGAUCUGAAACAGAAGGAGGGUUUUCCCACACCCUGCUCUGAUCCUUCUUUUCAUCACAAAUUUCACAUUUUGAAAUCUUUUGCCCAUCUGACAGGGGCAGAGGAAGAAAAUCCACCUUACUCUAUGUCUUUGCAACAGGAGAGAGGGGCAAGCUAACGCAGUUCACCUGUUCUGCUCUUCUGGGAGGUGAGCGAGGGACCGAGACACCAAGAGCCUGCUGGCCUGGCUGCUUGGGGCUGGGGGUCGCACCUUGCAUUGUCCCAGGCUGCCACAGGAGGAGACAUCACAGAAGGGCUUAGGAGAAGUCACAGUGGUGAGGGUCCUCUCUGCACCCAGAAAAAAAUGGAG